RNAcentral lists this long non-coding RNA (15885 nucleotides) under Capsicum annuum. RNAcentral describes it as "long non-coding RNA (CANN_LNC017451)". The record is from RNAcentral. Lineage: Eukaryota; Viridiplantae; Streptophyta; Magnoliopsida; Solanales; Solanaceae.
CAUUUUAUUGCAAAUCAAACAAAAAUAACAAAGUCUAGUCUUGCAGGCCCAGGUAGUGACCCAGUCCACAUCAAAUAAGGAAAUACAUACACAAAAAUAGAAAAAUAAAGAGGAAAGCAAAUCGGCUGCUUUUCCUAAGUCAUCAAAGUAGUCCAAGGGGCUCAGAUGUGUGGAAGCUUAUGGAAAUGACCAUCGGAGAUGGCAACCAGAGCUGGACUAGGUUUGAACACCACUCGUCAUAGCUGAAUAUCUACCACAAACCAGCCAUACAUCCUUUUAUAAGUAUACUAGUUCGAUCUGAGCUAGCUUUCCCUUUUUCAUUACCUUCAUCUAGAUCUUUCACCACUCACAAUUUUGGUAGAUGCCAUUCUUCAGCCUCAAUGGUCUCACCAGGCACCGUGGAAUCAAAGCCAAGAAAAGAUUUUUCCAUUGUUGGGAUCGACAUCAUGUGAAGAUGAAUCCAUGGUUCUUCUAUUUCUCUUUACUAAUAAAUCGACUAUAUUCCUGAUUAUAUCAUACAUCUUCAUAUUCAUAAUCCUACAGUUUGAAUUUCAUAAUAAAUUAAUGGCGCUGUGUGAGUCAUCUCUAUUGAAUGUAUUUGAUAAUUAUUUACAUUUGAGGUUUUCUGGUGCUGACAUAACUCUUAUACUUGUACUGUCAACAAAUUGAUAGUGGUGAACUUUGUAGCUGUGACAUUUCUAGUCUGGUUCUCUAGUAAUGUAGAUGUUGAAUCUAAGAUUAGGAAGGCUUAUCUUUUUUGCGUUAAUAAUCCUUCUCACUCGUGUUGGCAACUUCCAGAAAUUAGUAAACUGGACUAUCCCUGCAAAAUCCAAAACAUAGUGAAAAAAUCUGCUAGUUGGUUCUCUUCCCUAGCUAUGUUUCGAACCUGACAUUCACCUUUAGUUCUCCCAUACUUGAUCUUCUCUACAUCUAUUACAAUAAUCCAAGGAGCCUUCCAUUCUUCAUCAAGGAUCUUAUUCAUUAUUAAGUUGUUUGUCUCUAUCAAUACUACAAUGAUAUUAUUAUUCACACUGUACUCAAUCCCUUGUAAAAUAGCUCUUGAUUCUGCAGAUAUACUUGUGGUAUCAAUAAUUACCUCUGCUCUUUCAUACACCAAAUCUCCAUCAUUUUUCCUGGUACUAAAAGCAAUAGAAUUAUCCCCUGGGUUGCCCCUUAAUGAACCAUCCUGUUAUAUUUGGACCAACCUACCUCUGGUGGUCUCCAUCUAAUCACUGUACAAGCCACAUUAUGUCUAUACCUUGCUAAAAAAUCAAUCAAGUCAGUCCAAGAGGUUGGAAUAUUUUUCAACCAUGCGUAAUUCCUCCUGGUUAUCUAAUAGAGGUUCAAAUUUAUUUCAUACAUUACUUUAUGCCUUUACAUCUCCUUCCCAUAAACAAUAGAGUUUCUCCACUUCCAAAUUUUCCAUAGAAUUAUAGCAGGGGCGACCUAAUAGAUAGUCUUAAGUUUAGGUGCACAUUAUUGACUCCACCACUUUGAAAUGGCCUGCUUAACUUGGACAGAAGGCCCUUGAAUGCCUACAACAUUAGAAAAGUGCUACCAGAUACUUCUACCAAAAUUACCUGAUAUAAAAAGAUGAUUGAUGGUUUCUUGUUAUGGCUGCAUAUAACAUAUGCAUCUAAAAACCAUGUCACUUCCAAAUUUUGUUACCACAUCAUCCACUGGAAUUUUCUGCAUCCAAACGCUCCAUAAGAAAAAAAAUAUCUUGAAAGGUAAUCCGUGAUCCAACUUUUUGAUAAGCAUUCAUUAUUUAGCUAUUUGUCUUAAAAUUCCCAAUGCACUCUUUGUUGUGAACUUCCCAUUGCUAUUACCCAUCCACCAAGGUUUUUCUCGAAGCUCCAAUCUUUCAAAAAUCUUUAUCUUUGUGACUCCAUGUUGAACAAUCUCUUGUGGUAGAUUGUAGUUCAUUACCUGCAUAUUCCAGUUUCCAUCAUCCAUUAAAGUACUUAACUCAUCUAUCUUCUCAUUCAUUAUAAAAUAAACAAGUAAUAUGUCUAUGAGAGGGCCUAAUCAAGUCCAAUUAUCAAACCAAAUGUUAGAACAUCCAUUCUUGGGUUCCCAUAAUAUAUCCUAUUCUAUUUGAUCUCUGGCCUCCAAUAUUUUCUUCCAGAUCUGAGAACCUUCCCUCUAUUAUACUACUGAUAGAAUUUGUUUUUGCAGUAUAUCUUCCACAUAGAAUUGGUCAACAAUGAUCUUGUGGUCCCAAAGGCCCGCCAUAAUUCGGCAAAGAGAACUUUGGAAACAUCUAAAGAUAAUUCCUCCUUCAUUCUUUGAAGAAUAUUUGAAAUAAGAACAGCCUUUCCACCAAAUGUCAACAAUUUCCCUUUCCAGUUUUAGAGUCUAUCCUUCACCUUCUUGAUUAGAUCAUUAUAAUACACAUUUUUCUUCCUUGAAUGAAAUAUUAGACAACCUAGGUAUUUAAAAGAAAAAAAUUUCCUUUCAAACCCUAUGAUUUAUUCAACUUCAUGGACUAAACCUUUUGUUGUUUUGCCAAUCAUAUACAAGUUGUUUUUCUCCUUAUUGACCAUUUGGCCUAACACCAAUUCAUACUCUUGUAGAACUUUCAUAAUCAUCUCCAAGUAUCCUCUUUCCGCAGAUGCAAAAGUGAUAGUGUCAGUUGUAUAUGCAAGUGGUUUGUGUUGGCACUCCAUUUAGGCAUACCAUAUCUAGUGUAUCUCCAAUCAUCAAAUAAAGCAUUUAGUGCUCUGGACAGUGUCUUUUCAGCAAAAAUGAAUAAAAUAGGGGAUAAAUGUUCUCCCUACUUAACACCUUUAGUGGAAUAAAAGAAUCUUGGAAUGAAAGAAUCCAUGAAAUUAGCCAUCAAUUAGUAUAGAAUACCAAUUAUUAGCAAUCACCCUCCAGAUUAAGUGAAUAAAAACCUGUGAAAAUCUCAACUUCCUUAAUACUUUAGUUAAAUACAAUCAAGACACCCUGUCGCAUGCCUUGCUCAUAUCUUAUUUUAGUAUUAAAUUUGUUGAUUUUCCCCUCUUCCUAAUGUUAGUUAUAAUUUCUUGGGUCAAGAGCACAUUCUUAAUGAUUCACCUUCCCUUGACAUAUCCUGAUUGAUUUGAUAAAAUUAAUGAGGGAAGUAGAAAGUUCAAUCUUCUUUGUACCACUUUGGAGAUAACUUUAUUAAUAAAGUUACACAGACUAAUAGGUAUGCGAUCAACAAAAGUUUGAACAACAUUCUUCUUUGGAAUAAGAACCAGAUUUGUAUAAGUAAAGGACUUAGGCAAUGAGCCACUUGGAAAGUAAGCCUUUACUACACUAAGGACAUCUUCUUUCAUAAUUUCCUAACAAAAUUGAUAAAAUUUCCCAUUCAAGCCAUCUGGUCCACCUAGACAAUUCCUUUCCAUUGAAGAAACAAUUGUUUUGACAACCUCCAUUAUUGGUGUUGAACACAACAAUAUAUUUUCCUACUCAGCCAUAAUAAGGGGAAUUCUAUUAAGGAUUUCAAAAUUGGUACCUUCAACUUCUUUAGUAAAUUACUUCUCAAACACCUUAAUGUCUUUCUCUUUAAUUUGCUCCAUAUCUUCAAGACAAAUCCCAUCAGAAUUUUGAAUCCUUCUAACUUGCAGUCUUUUUCUUCUACCGUUGACCAAAUUAUGGUAAUAGAAAGUGUUUUUGUUCCCAUCAAUGACACAACCCAUACUAGGGCCUUGUUGUAAUGGGCAUCUCAAGUCCAACUAGGAUCGAAGACCACCCCCGAUACCCAAUCCAACCAACAAACAUAUACCCUGAGUCAGAUGAAUUUCGAACAUAUAACAAGAUAACGCAUUUAACAAUGUAAUGACUUUGGGAAAUGUCUAUAUCUGAGACCAACCCAACCAAAUCAAUCCAUUGAAUAACCGACCAAAAUUACCAAAACCCAAUGUAUAAAUAUAAAUAUAUCACGAUCAUUCCAUACCCAAGUCCACAGUUAUCCAUACAAAGCCUCUAAACCAAACCAAAAAGUAUCUAGUCGGGACAUGCCCCCGGCCAUAGCCAAAAACCAAAAUCUAUGAAAAGAUAAAAGUAUGUAAAGUAAUCCAUGACAUGAAAUGGAAUCCUUCCGAACUAUGGAAGCUCACCACUUUAAUCCAAAAUCGAAUGUCCUCGAAUUCGAUCAAUAAGCAAGAUGAGUAGUAUGGUCGGUUCCUGCAUCGCAUGGGGUUAUAGCGCUUGAAGAUGGGUUAGUGGGUGAAUGCUAGCAUGGAUUUAAUUUUUUUUUUAUGCAAAAAAUUUUAGUUGCUACAAAGAUAUGACCUAUAUAUCAUAUCUUGACUGGUUCUUUAGGGUCUUAAAGUCAAGCUCCCUUCUGCCUUUGCACUCAAGAUAAAGAUCAAAUAAAGCCAACCUUUAAAACCAAGUAAACCAACAAUAUGCUUUCAUAACCAUACAUACACACAUAUAUAAGUGCCUUCUGUAUCACCGGUCUUGGCAAGAAUACCUGAUUAUAUCUCUAUAAUAAGCUGCGACUAAGCGAAUCUCUCGUCUGGAACCCCCGAACUCCCAGCUUGACGGCUUGACUGCAUUACCUUCCUUCGUCACCUUCUUAACUGCUGACAGCAUCAUCCCGGAUUUUGUUUGUCUCAUGCAAAACGAAUCUCAGUCCUCUCAUUUUCUAACCGCAUUCAUAUUAUGGAAAGCAGCCAAGCGGGUCGCGGGGGAAGGGCCGUCAGCCCUGCCCUACUUGACCUAUCCUGUCUGGUGAGGUGGAUAGAAAGGACUACUAGUUGCUCGAUCAGGACCCUAUCUUUAUUGUGAGCCAAAAACCUAAUGUAUACGCCCCCUUUCUUUAUUGUUGGAGAUUCUAUCCAAUUAUCAGCCCCGAUGCGGAAAGGAGUAAAGAAAGAAAAGUUGAAGACGGCUUAACAGUAAGAGAGAACCCCGCCAACUUUGGUUGGUUAAUCCGAUCAGUUCAUCUGAUGAUAUUGUUUCAUAGAAUUGGUUGUUCUUUCUCUCCUUUCUUCUAGAGGAAUUGAGUCGUUCAUUUCGGUCUAACUUCGUUACUGUACCCCGGUCUCACUCUGACAGCGUACUAUCCUAGACCUCUGUCUAUCUCGACAUUGAUAGAAAUUCAUAGUUAGGUUAGCCAGCCCAUUAACCCAGACAAGUGGGAGGCGCGAUGUAGCAGGGUCAACUCUAUUAAAACGGAUCAACAAAGGCGAGAUCAGCUCACUUGCCCACCGACCCCCGUCUCUUAUGCGAUGACACUCAGUCCUUAAACUAGAUCAGAAUAGGAGACAGAGAGGUAGGUAUUCAGGCUUGUAGCAAGUUUUUACAGGACGUAGCUAAACCUUCCGAGGCAGGAUUUACCGCGCGGGUUUAUUACAUUUCCAUGAAGGGAAAGGGAACCGAGUUUAACAUGCCUUUAAAACCAUUAACCUACCUGAUACGUGUAGCUGCACUAAUCGGAGAUACCAUAGUAGUAGGGGAUUCUCGUGUACCCUUUGCUCUCUAUGAUAUAUACAUACAAGUGUUAGGGGAUUCUUGUGUACCCCUCAAGUAUAUGGUCGCCAUGACCAAUCCUUAUGUCGGCAAACAGUAGUUUUCAGUGUCCCUCCAUUAGAAUCACACCUUAAUGGUUAGCUAUCACACCACGCCAUUAUUGCCCAAUUAAAACUAUUACCAUACAACCAAACCACCAACUCCGUUUAUUAUCAACCAAGGCUACGAGUAGUAGUAUCAUCAUAUCGACUAUAGCUUGCAAGAAAUGGCCUUAGCCAACCUUAGGGGAUUCCUAUGUACCCCAUAGGUUACAUUAUUAAGUUUACUUGGGGCAUUCUCAUGUACCCCAAAAGUAUUUAAUUAUUAAGUUUUGCUUGGGGGAAUCCCAUGUACCCCACAAGAUGUUCAUCAUUUAGAAUACUUUCAUUAUUACAUUCUCUUGGGGGAUUCCCAUGUACCCCGCAAGGUUUUCAUUCAAAUCAAUUUCAGAGCCACCAAGACCUUACUAUUUAACCAUUCAAAACCAUUUAAACAACUGCAAACCAACUUAGGUUCCAUUAAUAUAUUAAACCAUGCAAAGCUUCAAUGAAAGUUCAACGAUAUAACCAAAAACAUUCUCGUAGGAAUUUUAUCAAACAUGUUGAGGGCAAACCUUUAUCAAGACUAAAACCAAAGCAUAAACCAUCAAGUUUAGGGUUACCCAUGACUCGUUUCUUAAACCACAACCAACAAGCACCCAUAUAUGCAAACCACUACCAAGAACAUGUGAAGAUAUAAUUUAAACCAAGAGUAAACAAUACUCAACAAUGUGCAUCCAAAACCCACAACAUUGAUUUUUAAAACCACCAUUUAUGAUUCAUAAUCAAUUUUUAGAACACAUUAAAGCAUUCCUUUAGUUGGAACUAAUAAUUAGGGAGGUGUACAUGCCUUAUACAUGAUGAUUCACGGAAGAAAACUUGACUCUUGAGCCUUUUAAAGAACACUUGUAGAAACCCUAACCUCAAUCUUCAAGUGAGUGCUUAGAGAGAGUAUUUUGAUCCAUGCAAAGUGAGCUAUGAAAGGCCAUCAAUGGUUAUAUAACGUGGGGACAUAAGGGUUUUGGGGGUGGGAAAAUGUCUGGGGUACCCUCAGCUCAAAAUUUAAAAAUAUGCACGCUGGAGGGUACGACCACGCCCCUUAACCGUACCUUAGGAUAUAAGUGGUACCCUAACUCGUACCCUAAACUUUACCAUGGACCUCAAAACUGAUCAUCAUACGACAACACAUGCCAAACUCAUACCCUAAGGUACGAUAAGUACCCCUAAAUCGUACCUUGGACAAAUUCAACUAGGCUAAUCAAUAAGCAUCAUAUGACUUGGCAUCAUACACCUCGUAUCCUGCCAUAAUACUAUUAUGAUGAUUAGUUGUAUCUUGGGCAGAAACCAACCCCAAACACACUUCCUAAUAUACGAAAGAGAGGGCCAUAGUCGUACACUAGCAUACGACUUGUACCUUCAAGUUAUACCUUGUCCAGAGUAGUCGACUUAGGAAAUUUUUCUAAAGGUCUAAGUUUGGGGUGUUUCAUUCUCCCCCACUUAGGAUCAUUCAUCCUUGAAUGACGGGUAAGGGCAAGCACAAGCACGAGUUAACAAUUUAAUACCCAUCAAACUUCCCUUCAACCUAACUAGAAGACAUGGACAUAAAUCAAGAUGGGAAGAUCAUCACAAACUCCAAGCAUGAUUUACACCCCAACACCUUCAUCCCGACCCCUAACUAAGUUAGAAAACAAAGACACAAGGAAAUCCACCCUUCCUUAACCAAGUUAGAAAACAAAGAUGUGAUAAAGGAUGUAUACCUUAUGUACGAGUUUUCGAAAUGAAGAACCAACAUGAGUACUUAGUCUCUAUGUCCACUUUCACAUCCUAGUUGGCUUUCUUUGACUUUUGGUUCCACCAUAGAACCUUUACCGAAGCCAUACCUUUUUGUUUGUAACUGGUGAACUUACCAACCCAAGAUCCUCACCGAGACCUCCUUAGGACCAAGAGUGUGAGAUACCAAUACCAUCCAAAGAUAAUAACCGAAGAAGGACCACUGACACCUUACCUCAACACAAACACAUGGAAUAUCAGAUGGAUGGAACUCAUGCUAGAGAGUAAGUCCAAUUCAACUUACAAUUUCCCAGAGAUAGAUCAUUGUGAGAGCUUGAGUCUAGCUAUAAACCACUUCAUGUUCAAGCCUAUCCAAAGAAAAAAGGAGUUAACUUAGGCCACCAGACUAUAUUCCUUACAUCCACCUAAAACAGUAUUCUGCUUCCACCAAGAAUUUGAGUUCCCAACACAACAAUUGGUAUAUCUAUCAACCACAACAUUCAAGCCUACCUCUUCUAUUCUAGCGGUACUGCCUAUCCUUCUAAGGAUUUAGAAACCUGUAUCAUUUUUGCAAAGAUUUUUCACCACCUACUCCUCUCCUAGCCAUUCCUCAUGACAACAACCUUAACUUACCCUCCAAAACCUUAGCUCUAGUAGUCACCCCAGAAUCUUCCCCACUUAGGUACUUUUACCUCUCCUCUAUUUCAAAACAUCACUAUACCUCUACAACCAUUACCAUCCAGGGUCAUUAAGAAAUUAAAGUACAAAAAUCACUCAUGCUACUCAUGGAGAGACCUCUGAAAAGAGACACGGUACCAUAGGCACAAGGUACUUCAUAGCAACUACCUAGAACAUGAAUGAAGAACCAUCCCAACACAACACACCAUAGAAGGAGUCCUUAGGAUUGGACACCAAAAGACACACAACCACAUAUAUCAUAAGUAAUUCAAUGUAAGGUCAAGAUUCAAAUCCAGGGAAUAAGGCAAAUUCAAAAUGUUAACGUUAGGAAUAAGCGCUACCAGAAUUCAUGCAACACUGGGAGAGUGCCCUCGUAAUGAAGAAAAGUGAGAAUUGCUAGAAUAUGCACCCUAACCUUCCCUUACUAUGACUAUAAGCAUAAUACUCCACUCUAGAGGGUAUCACCAAGUACCUACACUAGGGACACUUGGUUCCCCUAUUCUUAAAACCUCAUCCACCUAAAUGCCACCUAGAGUCCAGCAUAGUUAUACAAACUCAAUGUUCUAACCCAUCCAAUGACUUAACCCUUAACCCAUCAGUUCAACCUGAGCCCUCGGCCUAUAUGUCAUAACCUUCCUACUUCUGCAUUUCCCAAGUCAUCAACCUCGCCCUUUUUCGCAUACCUCAUCCAUCCUACCAAUCUACCUCAAUAAUUCUCGCAUUGUUAUCCCUAAGAUAGCAUACUAAUUUUACUACAAAUAAUGCCAAAAUUUCAAACCCAACGUCUACCAACCAUUAUGCACUACCAAUAAGGUACCUCAUAUAGAAAUAUGCAUAUAUGGUCCACCCCACAAGGAGGACACCUCAAAUUCCUCAUUCACCAACCAAUAACCUAUACCUUCCCAUGGGAAACCAUCCCUCUUAUGCAUGAAAGAAAGUAAAUACUUCAUGGAGAAUCACUAGGAUGGGUGAAACAUUUAUCUAAGGGGUUCUUUAAUUGCUUAUUAAGUUCUUCUAACUCAAUUGAAACCUUUCUAUAAUAAAGAAUAGAAAUUGGACAAGCUUCCCAAACAAGACCAAUACUAAACUCAAUCUCCCUAUUAGAAAGACACCAUAAGGGUCUUCAAGAAGGACUUCAGAAAAACUCAUUCACCACUGAAACUGAAUGCAAAGAAAGAACUUCUGAGAUAGAAACUUUAACCCAAACCAAAUAAUAAUAGAGACACCUCUUUUGAAGAUUAAUCUCUAAGCUCGAAGAUAUAUAAAACCUUCCCCCUUAAUAGCUCGAGAAUCAUCCUCCCAUCCAAUAACCGACUCACUAAGAAGCCUAAAGAUAACCUUAUGGGUUCGAAAGUCUAAUAAUGUGUAACACAAGUGCAACUAAUCCAUCCCAGAAUAUCAUAGAAAUCCACCAUAUCUGAGUGAAACAGAUCCACCAGAGUCUCCUUUACUACCAACAAACACCAUACACCCCCCUAUAGACCCCUUUGGCAAUCAUAAAGUCACAUACCAGGGUAGAAAUAAAAAGGGUCCUAAAUAACCUUGGGAGUAAACCUAAUUGCAUAGCCAUAAGUAGAAUCAACAUAAGAGAGAGGGGACUCUAGACCAACUAAAUAAUUCACAACACGAGAAAAGAGUUGCAACAUACCAGUGUUAACAUCAAAAAAUGCAUCAGACUCCUAAGGGAUAGCGAGGUCAUUAAGAUAAUCCUGACCAAUCCCAUAGCCAGAAGUAGCAUCCCUCGGUGCAACAGCUAGAGAGGUGGUAACCGAUGUCCUAUUUACCUAAGAGACAAUCCUUAUGAGACACUCCCGUUGCAUAUGACCCAACUAACCAUAAUUAAAACAAUGAUUCCUCUCUUCUUUGCAACAACCAUGGUGCGACUGACCAUAAAACCGACAAGGAGGAUAGGAUGAUACAGAAUGGGACCUACAAGUUUAAGAUUAGGUACCUUAUGACCUUAAAGCAUUACACAUCUAAAGAUAUCUAUCUCCUAAUGACUUUGGGUAGGGAGCACUAGCCAUAGAACAGGAGUUAGAACCCAUCCAACUCUUUCUCUUGGACCACUUACCACAAUACUAUUGUCCAUCUCUUUAUUCAGAAAAUCGAGGCCACUUACUCUACCUAUUGCCCAACCUUGCCUUAUUCUCCCCUAUACCAAUAGGAUCAGACUGGCAUGACAGAGUUAUACUAUCUGGUUCAAUAGAAUAUAGAAUGUCAAAACUCGGCAUUAGUUGAGGUAAUUGUUCAUGAGUACCACCUUUUGGAGUAGGGUUAGUGAAGGCCAGUGGAACUCCAAAAGAAUAUCCAAAAUUGUGACCCUUGAUUGGGUCUGUGGCCCAUGAGUUGGAUGAGAUCUAUCUAUGUCGUCCUCAAGUAGUAUAGGUGAGUUCCCACAAUCUUUAGAUCGUUGAGAGGACAUGAUCUGAAAGGUGAACCAAAUAAAGAUUUUAGGAAAAGUUCAAGAUCAUAGACUCUAUAGCCUGAAAGUAGAACAACAAGAAAGUGAAACAUUCCUAUAUGCCUCGUAGCCUCCUGAUUAUAAGUGUGGUGCAUGACACACCCAUAAUCAAGACUCUACAUGACACGGCUUUAUCGAUACCCCAUGACACCAAAACCUGGCCUCUGAUACAUACUUGACACGACCCGAAUCGAGGCCUUGUUGUAAUGGGAAUCUCAAGUCCAACCGGUACUGGAGACUACCCCUGAUACAUAAUCCAACCAACCAACAUAUACCCUGAGUUGGAUGAAUUCUAAACAUAUAAUAAGUUAACGCAUUUAAUGAUGUAAUGACUUGGGGAUAAGUCUAUAUUCGAGACCAACCCAACCAAGUUAAUCCAUCGAAUAACCGACCAACCAAACCAAAACUAAGAACCCAAUGUAUAUAUAAAUAAAUUGCGAUCAUUCCAUACCCAAGUCUACAGUUUCCAUACAAAUCCUCUAAAAAAAACCAAAGAGUAUCUAGUUGGGACAUGCCCCCAACCAUAGCUAAAAAAAAUCUAUGAAAAGACAAAAGUAUGUAUAGUAAUCCAUGACAUGAAAUGGAUGCCUUCCAAACUAUAGAAGCUUACCACUUCAAUCCAAUACCAACUGUCCUCAAAUUUGAUCAAUGAAUAGUAGUAGUAUGGUUGGUUCUUGAAUUGCGUGGGGAUUAGCACCCGAAGAUGGGUUAGCGGGUGAACGCUAGUAUGGAUUUUGUUUUUUGUUUAUGCAAAAGAUUUCAGUUGCUAUAAAGAUAUGAUCUAUAUAUCAUAUCUUGACUGGUUCUUUAGGGUCAUGCAGUCAAGCUCUCUUCUGUCUUUGCACUCAGCAUAAGGAUAAAAUAAUGUCAACCUUUAAAACCAAGUAAACCAACUAUAUGUAUUCACAACCAUAUAUAUAUAUAUAUAUGUAUAUAUAUAUAACCAUGCUGGAAAAGGGAACCAGGAUUAUCAUGCCUUUAAAACCAUUAACUUGGGUAUGUGUAGCUUAACUGACAUAAUUCAUCCAUAGGUUAUAUGGGUCCAGUGUUUCCCCAUGGACAGAACCCGAUGCGUGUAUCCACACUAACCAAAGAUACCAUAGGAAAAGGGAUUUAUCGUGUACCCUUCGCUCUCUAUAUAUGUAUAUACAAGUGUUAGGGGAUUCCCAUGUACCCUUCAAGUAUAUGGCCACCAUGACCAAUCCUCAUGUCGGCAAAAAUAAGUUUUCAGUGUCCCUCCAUUAGACUCACACCUUCAUAGUUAGCUAUCCCACCCCGCCAUUAUUGCCUAAUUAAAACCAUUACGAUACAACCAAACCACCAACUCCAUUUAUUAACAACCAAGGCUACGAGUAGUGGUAUCAUCAUACCGAUUAUAUCUUAAAAGCAAUGUCCUUAGCCAACUUUAGGGGAUUCCCAUGUACCCCAUAGGUUACAUUAUUAAGUUUAUUUGGGGGAUUCCCAUGUACCCCACAAGUACAUGAUUAUUAGGCUUACUUAGGGGAUUCUCAUGUACCCCACAAGUAUUUCAUUAUUAAGUUUUUUCUUGGGGGAUUACCAUGUACCCCACAAGAUGUUCAUUAUUUUGAUUACUUUCAUUUUUACAUUCUAUUGGGGGAUUCCCAUGUACUCUGCAAAGUUUUUAUUUAAAUCAACUUCAUAGCCAUAAAGGCCUUACUAUUUAACCAUUUCAAACCAUUCAAAACCAUUUAAACCAACUUAUGUUCCUUUACUAUAGUAAACCAUGCAAAGAUUCAAUGAAAGUUCAACAAUAUAACCAAAAACAUUCUCAUAGGCAUUUUAUCAAACAUGUUGAAGGCAUACCUUUAUCAAGACCAAAACCAAAGCAUAAACCAUCAAGUUUAGGGUUACCCAUGACCUAUUUGUUAAACCACAACCAACAAUCAUCCAUAUAUGAAAACCACCACCAAAAAUAUAUGAAAACAUAAUUUAAACCAAGAGUAAACAAUACUCAACAAUAUGCUUCCAAAAUCGUCAACAUUGGUUUUCAAAACCACCAUUUAUGAUUCACAAUCAAUGUUUAAAACACAUUAAAGCAUGCUUUUAGUUGGAACUAACAAUGAGGAAGGAGUACAUUCCUUAUACAAGAAGAUUCACGAAUGGAAACUUGACUCUUGAGCCAUUUGAAGAGCACUUGUAAAAACCCUAGCCUCUAUCUUCAAGAGAGUGUUUAGAGAGAGUAUUUUGAGUGUUUUGAUCCAUCCAAAGUGAGUUAUGAGAGGCCACCAAGGGUUAUAUAACGUUGGGACAUAAGGGUUUUAGGGUGGGAAAAUGUCCAGAAUACCCCCAGCUCAUAAGUUAAAAAUAUGCACGUAGGAGGGUAUGAUCACCCCCCUUAGAUAUACCCUAGGGUACGCAUAGUACCCUAAAUCUUACCUUGGAACUCACCAUGGACCUCCAAACUGAUCAUCAUACGAAAAAACAUGCCAAACUCGUACCCUAAGUUACAAGAAGUACCCCUAACCUGUACCUUAGAAAGAUUCAACUAGGCUAAUCAUUAAGCAUCAUACGACUUGGAAUCAUACACAUCAUAUCCUGCCAUACGACUAGUAUGAUGCUUAGUCAUAUAUUGUACAGAUUCUAACCCCAAACAAACUUCCUAAUAUAUGAGAGAGAGGGCCAUAGUUGUACCCUAGCAUAGGAAUUAUACCUCUAAGUCAUACCGUGUCUAGAGUACUCAACUUAGGAAAUUUUUCUAAGGUUCCAAGUUUGGGAUGUUUCAAUCAAUCUUUUAGGUUACUCUAGAUUUUUAUUUCUAGAAUUCUUCUUCCAUAUGCAAAUGUUUCUUCAAUUCUGCCUGAGCCAUCUGCAACAUUAUUCAAUUUUGAGGUGUACAAUCUUCUUCAAGCAAUUAUUUCUUAACUCUCAUAAUAUUUUCCCUAAGUAUCAACUGCUUAAAGAUGUUCCCAUAAGUAUCUCUAUUCCAUUUGGUUAAGGCUUUCUUAAUGUUCUUUAUUUUCUGCUUGAACAUUAAAAAAUGAUGCCCUUAGAUAAUCAGCUUUCCAUUAUUGCUCUACAAUCUUUAAAAAAUCUGAAUGUUUAGUCGAGAAACUGAGGAAUAUUAAGGGCUUCCUAAUCAAUUGAGACUAAUUCCCAAUGUAAGAAAGAGAGAGGCAUGAUCUGAUCCUAUCCUUGCUAAGUAUUCUGAUUCAAUAUGCUCAAAAAUAUCAUAUAGCUCCUAAUUUAUUGCAAUUUUAUCUAUUUUUCAAAAAUACAGUCAGCAUCACACCUACCAUUCCACCAAGUGAAUAGACUAUCUUUAAAGUCCACCUCUAAUAGACCUGAAGAGUUAAUACAAUAAGCAAAAUCUUCAACAUGUUAGGGUAAAACUAGUAAGCCACCAAUUUUUUCCUCAUUAUUUAGCACCACACUAAAAUCACCACCCACUAGCCAAGGCAUAGCAUAGCUAUUAUAUAGUUGGUAAAUAAUAUCCCAUAAAGGAAGCCUUUCUACUUCAGUGCAUUAUGCAUAGACAAUGGUGGCUAGUAACUUCAAAAUCAAUCUAUUAACACUUAGCUUUAUUAUCAAUUAUUGGUUAGUAUUAAGAACUAUCACCACAUCUAUGUCUUCUUUUACAAAAAGCCAAAUCUUUCCAAACUCAUUAGUACCAGCAAAUUGCAUUUCUAGCCUUCUUUUGUAAUGAUGCAUGUUAUUUGUCUGUUGGAAAGGUACCAACAGGACAAUCAUGAAAAAUUGAUGAUGGUUAUGUAAUAUUUGUAUCCUAUCAAAGGUUUUCUGAGUCCUAACUGAUCUAAUAUUCCAAAUUAUAACUUUCAACAUCAUUUAAAGCUAGAUAAGUUAAACUGAUCUCUGUUGACACCUAAUUUUUGUCCUCCACAACUAAGUUUAAUUUCAAGUUUCUUCGAUUUUAAAUAAAAUUAUAAUAUUUAUUUUCUCUGAAUAAAAGCUUUUCAGAGUAUUUAUUUGGAUAAUUUUGCAAUGUUAAGUAGCAAUUAUAGAUUAUCAAAUUCAAUUAUAUGAAAUUAUAAAGUAUUUAUUUGGAUAAUUUUGCAAUUUUAAGUAGCAAUUAUAGAUUAUCAAAUUCAAUUAUAUGAAAUUAUAUAAUUUUAUUACUUAAAUAUUUAUUUUAUGAAAUAUCAAUUUUUAAUCAAGGCUUAUCUUGAUAAUAAAUUCAAAUGGUUUGAAUGUAAUUUGUUCUUGAAAAUAAUUUAUUUGGAAAUAUAUUUAUUUGACUUUUAUUAAAUCAAGAAGCUUGAGAUUAAAUAAGGUAUUAAUUCAUAUUGAAUUUAGUUAAUUCAUUAAAUUUGGCCAUAAUUGAAAUCAAAUCGGCCGCAAUUACAAUACAAUUGGCCAAUUGAUUUUGAAUUUGGUCGGAAACUAAAAUAAAAUUGACCAACUCCUAAACUAAUUGGGGUUAUUUUUUAAAUAACUCCAAAAAUACAUAAUCUACCCAAAUAACAACAGCCCAUCAAAACCAACAGAUUAACCCAAACUUAAAAUUCAAAUUUGAAUUUCAAAAUUUAUACUAGAUUAGACAAUUCCACAUCAACCUUGUCCUUUCUCCAUUUUGAAAUUCAAAAUUUGUACUAGAUUGUACAAUUCCCCCUCAACCUAGUCUUUUUUCCAUUUUUGAAAUUCAAAAUUUGUACUAAACUGUACAAUUCCCCCACCAACCUUGUCCUUUUCUGUUUUUGAAAUUCAAAAUUUAUACUAGAAUGUACAAUUCCACCUCACUUUAGCCUCAAUUUCAAAUUCGAAAAAAUACCUCUAAGUUCUUUCUCCCACAUUGGUGGAUUCAAAGAAUUCAAUCCCCAUCUUUUCCUAUAAAUAAUACCACCAUUUUGGUAGAAAGAAAGUCUCAAAGAUUGGAAAAACUUUUGAUCAAAGAGUUAAUUUUUUUCUUUUAGUAAAAAUUUUCAAGCGGUAGUCUAAUCGGGGUUCUCAAAAGAUUGCUCUCCGGUGGUGAUCAAGACUCUGAAGAAAGCUUAAAAUCCUAUUUUGCUGCUCCAAAAAAGGUAAACACACCUUUCCUUUUUAGUUUUGUUAUUGUUUUCUUCUUUAUCACUUUCUUGGUAGUUUUUGUAGUUGUAAUUUUGUUUGCUGGGAUAAUUUGUUAUAGACGGACUUGAAGACGAUAAGAUGUUGGGAUAUCAAUAUGGCUAUUUUUAUGUUCAUAAAAUGAGCUAACAAUAGUUGAACGCAUUUCUUUGGCUUUAUUCUUUGAUUAUUAUGAUUAGAUAUCUAAAGUUUAGACAUCUGCUUGAUUAAACUACGUACUCAUGCUUUCUUUAAAUUUUUUAUUGAUGAAUAUGUUUGAUUUUAGCAUUUAAAGUUGUUUCCUUUAUGUCAAAAAAGAAUAUUCACUAUUGUUUGCUAUGCCUUAAUAAAUUAGAUGGAUAAAGUUUCUAUCUUUACUUGAUUAAAAUACGUACUCGUGCCUUGUUUAAAUUUUUUAUUGGUGGAUAUGUU